UCCCUAAAAAAGGGCAGUCUCGUCUGACACGUAUAACAGACGACAAGGGUUGCGUUCGUUGCCCGACUUAACGGUACAAUUCAAACCACGAACUGGCGACGGCCAUGCAUCACCUGUCUGCGAGCCCGAAGGCCCCACUCGUUUCUGAGUGAGUUCCCGUAGAUUUCUAGUCCUAGUGAGGUUCUUCGUUUAGCUACGAAUUAAGCCACAUGAUCCACCGCUUGUGCGAGUCCCCGUCUAUUCCUUUGAGUUUUAAGCUUGCGCUCGUACUACCCAGGCGCUUGACUUAUCGCGUUAGCUUCGCCUCGGAGAGGGUCGAUACUCCCCAAAGCUAGUCAAGAUCGUUUAGGGCGUGGACUAC
This 361-nucleotide unclassified non-coding RNA is filed under the name uncultured bacterium. RNAcentral's name for it is "contains 16S-23S intergenic spacer region". The record is from RNAcentral.